AUUAGCUUAGCUGGUUAGAGCAGGGGACUUUUAAUCCCAAGGUCCAGGGUUCGAAUCCCUG
This 61-nucleotide transfer RNA is filed under the name uncultured Parolsenella sp. It matches the Rfam family "tRNA", at positions 8 to 63 of the family's 71-position model. From Rfam's summary of the family: Transfer RNA (tRNA) molecules are approximately 80 nucleotides in length. Their secondary structure includes four short double-helical elements and three loops (D, anti-codon, and T loops). Lineage: Bacteria; Bacillati; Actinomycetota; Coriobacteriia; Coriobacteriales; Atopobiaceae. The record is from RNAcentral.